AGUGAACGCUGGCGGUAGGCCUAACACAUGCAAGUCGAACGGCAGCACAGUAAGAGCUUGCUCUUACGGGUGGCGAGUGGCGGGCGGGUGAGGAAUACAUCGGAAUCUACUUUUUCGUGGGGGAUAACGUAGGGAAACUUACGCUAAUACCGCAUACGGCCUACGGGUGAAAGCAGGGGAUCUUCGGACCUUGCGCGAUUGAAUGAGCCGAUAUCGGAUUAGCUAGUUGGCGGGGUAAAGGCCCACCAAGGCGACGAUCCGUAGCUGGUCUGAGAGGAUGAUCAGCCACACUGGAACUGAGACACGGUCCAGACUCCUACGGGAGGCAGCAGUGGGGAAUAUUGGACAAUGGGCGCAAGCCUGAUCCAGCCAUACCGCGUGGGUGAAGAAGGCCUUCGGGUUGUAAAGCCCUUUUGUUGGGAAAGAAAAGCAGCAGGUUAAUACCCCGCUGUUCUGACGGUACCCAAAGAAUAAGCACCGGCUAACUUCGUG
Molecule: ribosomal RNA, 492 nt
Filed under: uncultured bacterium
Lineage: Bacteria
Description: partial 16S ribosomal RNA
Rfam family: Bacterial small subunit ribosomal RNA
Source: RNAcentral